UUGUUGAGUGCGAGCUCUGAGCAGUAAGAACAGUGGGAGGAUAGCAGUGUUUCUUUUGGCAGGAGAUCAGAAAUGCAGACUCCUGGGCACUCUGCAUGUACCUUUCCACAUCAUGUGGCCUCCCUUUCCCCCACCCUGGCAUCUGCUUUCUCGCCUCUGGAAAAGCGUACAUGUGGAAAGCACCACCCGCCAAUUCUCUUUCGCAGUUCUUCGCAUUUCUGGGACUUCAAGAAAUCUUGAACCACAAUCUCCUUCUCUCAAGAUAGGUAACUGGGCACAGCUUCAAUCAACUGUAAUUUUCAACAGAUCCCGAACCAGGACUUGGAGAGAAGCAAAAUUCAAAAGGAAAGCAUCCACAAGAGGCACAUAAAUAAAGCAAGGAUAGGCGUUUCUGAAAAUAACCCUGUGGAAAAAAUGUGGCUUCUCUUCAAACUCAUAAAGAGAACAAGGCACUUGAGAAGUUCUAAAACUUUUCUAUGUAUUAGGCUCACCUGGAAGUUUUGACAACGUCUACGUCCAGACCAAAGCCCCCAUCAGUUAAAAGAACGACUGGGGAUUGGGACUCAUGCAUCAAUAUUUGUUAAAGCUCUCUAGGAGAUGCCAGUGGCAGCCAAGUCUGAGAAACACUUGAAAAACACGUAGCUGACAGCAUGAAAAGUCCAUGGAGCACAGGUUCCCUGCCCUGGGCUUUGGCUGCACAAAGCUGACCUGCUCUACCUGGCUACAGUCCCAGACUUCCCAGACACAACCUGGGCCUUCCUCUGGGGACUUGGUUCAUACUGCAGCAACUCUGCCACAGAUGUCCCCACUCACCGUAAGGAAUGCCUGCCAAAAACAAUAAUUUUUUAAACAAAUAAGGUUUUAAGGCAUCUACUAAAGAGCUAAUGGUGUGGUCAUUGUCCUAAUGGGUUUUUAAUGAUGUGUAAAGUUCUCAGCUGAUAGUCAACAAGAUGUAAAGUUUUAUAGAAGUAUUUCAUUGGUUUGGAAUUAUAUCUUCUUUUGACUCAUACUUAUUGUUUCUGUAAUCUCAAACUCAAGAGUCUUGAUAUGAGAAAGAUGUCUACUAAAAUUUUUACUUUCUUUUUAGAUGCUGCUUGGAGUCGGGGGAGACAGUGUUUUUCCUUGAUUUUAUUUUGGGAAAUGUUAUGAAGGUGGGAGGGGGGAUAAGCAAAGCAGGGGUUUCCCACCUCAGUUGCCCUGACUGUCCCAGGUGCCUCUGGAGUGAUACUGCCCCAAUGGCAACCAACAAGUCCUUUCUUGCCAGGACUGCGAGAUCUAUGCUCCAUGGCACUGGGGCCUAAGACCAGGGGUCAAGAUCUGAGUCACCUGCAUUCAGUACCAACCUUAGACCAGGCAAAAAGAGGCCUAGCCCUCAGAGCCUUAAAAGGUGCCUGCUCUGUCCCUUCUCCAGCCCUGCUCCUUCCCUGGGAGGAAGCAUCUGUGGGACCUGGACAUAUACCCACACCCUCCGUUUACAGUGACCCUGUAAUCUGAGGUCUUGGAAUUGCCUACUAAGUGGCCCAAGGCAGCCAACAGGGCCCAUGUGGUUCCAUUCCCCCAUCUGCCCUCUAGGGGGCAGACAUGUCACCCGUCAGCCUGAGAAGCAGUGGCUUGGGGGUGAAGGUGAAGGGUAUUUGCUUGGAACUUAGGCAUGUGUACUGGCAUGUCUCCACACAUGCACAGGACUGGCUCAUGGUUCCAGAUGGAGACAGAUGGAAAGAGAAGAGUGGGUGAGCCACAGAUCUUUCCUCAGCACUGAGACUUAAAAAUGCUAAAUUUGAACUUAGCCUUCCAAGCUAUCACAGAGGCAAAUUUGUCAAAGCAGGAGGAUAAACCUUUGACACUGAGGUAGGGGAUAGAACCUAAACAUUAAGGUUCAGCAUUUGAACUUAACCUUCCCGGUCAUAAAAUAGGCUUAUUUGUCAAGAAAGGAGGUGUGAGCAUCCUUAAUAGUCUGUUAGUGUGAUUUAAAAUUUUUAAAUAUUUAGAUGUGUGGUAUGUAGUCUUCCCUCUGUAUUCUUAUUUCACAAUCACAAAUUUCAAAAGUAGCUCUGCUCCAAGGCCUUACCCUGGCUAGACCUGCCAAACCAAAAUGUCUCGGGUUUGGCUGGUGAGUUUGAAACCUAAGUUCCUCUGAUGAGGUGCACCCACAACUCCUUUGCCAACCACCACCCUAGACCCUCUUCUCCUUUUCAGGUUUUACACUAAGUCCUUGUGCUAACAAAGCAGUGGUAAUUCACGUGCAAGCAGUGACAGCAGAUAAAGGAUUACAGAUUUUACUGGAAAGUGAGGCACAUACCAAGUCCAACUCUGUUAGGAGACAGGCUUACUGAGCCCCAAGGCCUGUGGUUUCCAGUCUGAUUUUUCUCCAUGCAAAGUCAAGCUGUGGGAGAACCAUGACAGCCCUCCCAACAGCCACUCCGAGUUCAGACCAUUUCCCUUCACCAAUACAAUUCUUAGUUUUCAGAGCGGCUGUUCUUGCCUACAGGUUCCUGAAUCUCGUUCUCUGACCUAAUGUCUAUUUUCCUCCCCUAACUGGCUCUACUCCUCAAUGACUGGAAUUUUUGUUUCACCAUACAACUCUCUCACCCAGAGGCGUGUGACCCUUCUUGGCAGGUGAGAAACACUUCUUGUUUGCACGGAGCCUGUAAAUACUCUGUCAGCACAUUAGGAUCACCUGGGGAGCCUUAAAAAAUUCCCAAGCCUGGGCCCCAUUCCAAACAAUUAAAUCCUGAUCUGACUAUGAUGGAUGAUGUAUGUGUGUGACAAAAUUACAGGGAACAGGUAAGUUUUCAAAAUUAUGCCCACACAUCAAAACUGUCUUAGAACCCUUUCGCUACAAAUACCCAGAGACUUUGGCCAUUCCUCUAGUAUUUUUUUGGCAUUAAGCAAACUCUGCCCAUUUCAUUAAUGCCUGCAAAUGCUGACCACCAGAUUUUGACAUUCUACCAAAAUCCACUCCAAAGACUUCUGUGACGAUGCUUAUGGCCAAGGAUAGGUAGCACCAACGUGACCUUUCAAAGCUUUAAAUGGAGGCUGAAUGUAGUUCAACCCCCAAGGCCUUCUUGGUUAGCAGAGUAUUAGGAGAGUACUCUUUGGGGGGAGGGGGAGGAGCACUAUUACAAUACAUUCUAGAGACAUAUCCAGUCCACACUAUAAUUUCAAAACUUAAUGUGUACAUGUAAUUCAUGGAAGACAAAAAGUUGUACUUGAAAUUCAAAUACAGUGACUUAGUAGAAAGUUGGCUAUUACCAAUGACACCAUUCUCCCCCAAUUAACAAGGAAGAGGGGCUGAGAUGGUAUCAGUUAGAUACUGUCCAAGAGAUUCCUAUUCCAGAGACUUCAUAUCAAGCACCGUAAUUUUCAAAAUUAGUAAGGAAAAUGCACAUGUAAAAUAAGCCAAACCAAGUGAUACAGAUCCAUGAAGUUGGGAUUUAAAAGUCUUUAUUAUU
Molecule: long non-coding RNA, 3452 nt
Organism: Mirounga angustirostris (Northern elephant seal)
Lineage: Eukaryota; Metazoa; Chordata; Mammalia; Carnivora; Phocidae
Exons: 3
Source: RefSeq, a predicted model, not a curated record